CGGACGGGUGAGUAACGCGUGAGUAACCUGCCUUUCANAGGGGGAUAACGUUCUGAAAAGAAACGCUAAUACCGCAUAACAUCAAUUUAUCGCAUGAUAGGUUGAUCAAAGGAGCAAUCCGCUGGAAGAUGGACUCGCGUCCGAUUAGCCAGUUGGCGGGGUAACGGCCCACCAAAGCGACGAUCGGUAGCCGGACUGAGAGGUUGAACGGCCACAUUGGGACUGAGACACGGCCCAGACUCCUACGGGAGGCAGCAUG
This 259-nucleotide ribosomal RNA is filed under the name uncultured bacterium. RNAcentral describes it as "partial 16S ribosomal RNA". It matches the Rfam family "Bacterial small subunit ribosomal RNA", at positions 99 to 353 of the family's 1533-position model. The record is from RNAcentral.